UUUUUUUUUUCUUUUUUUUUUUUUGAGUAAUCUUUUGACUUGGGCAUAGUCAGAUGAAGGGAAUUUAUAGACAGUUCAAAUUUGGUCUUAUUUCUACCAAAAUCAUAUGUUCUGUAUAGAGACUCUGUUCCAAACUCUAGUGGUAGUCCCAUGCUUUGAAUGUAUGCUCAUUCACAAGAACUGGCCUAGGGUGACCCAGUUCCUACAUUGUGAUCAUCAAACAUUCAUCAACAGCUAAAUUUCAACAUCUAAAAUAUCAGGCUGCAUUUGCCUGAAACCUGAACUUAAACUGAUCUCUGAAAUUAAGCUUUGAGUCAACUGUCUCCCAAAUUACAUUUCUAAAUAAAGAUUCUGCAGCAUGUAAAAGCAUUAUUUACUCAUUCUCAUAAACAGAACUGGGCAUGACCUCAGCAGGUUCAAGUAGGCAUAACCUUCAUUGAAGUUAAUAUUAUAAACUGAUUUACAUUAAGUUCGAGAACUUCACUUUUCUUGGACUUUGCUGUAAAAAUAUAUUUCCUCUAAAUGAAAGUUAAGUCUGUACUUUUGAGAAAAGUUGCAAGAAAGAUUAUGUUCUUGUAAAAAUCUAUUUUUAGCAUAAUCACAGCAGAUCAUCGUGGCAAUCUUUAGUUUUUAUCAGUAUCUUUUGAAACACAUGCUACCCACCUCAAAACGAAUCAUUAUUUUCAUAAAAAGCAACAAAGUUAUUCAAAGAGAUAAAAUAUUCAUCUUAAGUAAGGGAAUAAGACAAGAAAAAUCAAAAUCUUAAAUUUCUUACCCUAAGCUUUCUUGACAUGAGGAUUCAAGAGUUCACUUCUGUUGCACAUUAAUCAUUUCAGCUACCAUUGGGAAGUAAUGACCCCUAAAUCAAGUUCUACUCAGCUGUUGGAAGGAACAUUUCCAAUAUUUAGAGAGAGCAGAUCAAGGAUUCCUCAGUUUUCACCUUCAAUGAAAGACUGAGAUAGAACCACACAACUUAUUCUGGCCUCAGUUUCAUUUGUUGAAAUGGGUAUUUCACAUUAUUUCAUAAGGCUUCAUUAGUCAUAGACUAUAGCAAAUAGAGCUAACAUGGACAAGAGGGGAUUGGGUGUCACAAAGGUGACAAAGAGUCACAAACUCUUCCUGUUCAGAGGAGAAAGUGGUUGUGUCUCACUCUGACUCUUGGAGAAAACAUGCACAAAAAAUGUGAUUUGGCUUUAGCAGAACAUGAAACAAGAAUGAAAGCACACAUAUAUUUAAUUGUGUUGGUUUACUUGGAAAAUAAUAUAUUUUCUUACAUUCUCAUGUGAUAAAAUCAUAAGAGUAGUCAAGAUGAAAAUGCAUUAUUGUCAGUCUCCAUUCAAACUGAUUACGAGAGAGCAUCAUAUUGUCUCUGUAAAGUUAUUGCUACUCUUACAGAGACUGGAGAGCUUUUGAAUUUGUUUUUCAAUAAGUUUUUUCCAGACUCUUCAUUGGUGACCUCAGAAACAAAAAGAACCUCCACUGGAGGAGCUAGAAAAAUCCAUUCCUUUUACAAACGCACCUUAAAAAGUAAUAUAUUAUCCCUCCCAUGCCCACCACCAUAUGCACAAAGGGGAAAAAUUAUGAAACAUUAAGUUACUGAUACCUACUAGGUUACAAUUAACUAAAUUGUGGUAGAAAAUCAGCACCAACAAGUGGGGAAGAAAGAGAUGUAUUUUAAAGUUAGGUUGCAAAUGAGAAUGUUUGUGAGAAGGGAUUGUCAAGUGCAGCAAUAAAGAGGGAACUAAGACAGUUAAGUAGAGGCUGGUAGCUGGAUAUAUUUAAAGCAAAAAUAGAAUCCUUCUCAAUAUGAACAUAAAAUGAGGAGUGGAAGGUGUGAGAGUUCAUUGCAGCAAAUAUCAAAGAUAAAUUUUAUAAUAAAAGUGAGGCACCUGGAUUUUACAGCACAAACAUCAAACUGUAAAGGUCUGACUGGGACAGUUCUGGAUCUAAGCACCAGCCUGCUCUUUCAUGAACCCUGUCUACAUGAUAAUUAUAAAGUCAGAAAAUAUUACGUAAUAAUGCAUGAUCACAAGUGGGAAUAACUCAAAAAAAUAUAGCUCCAGAUAAGCCAUCUCAGGUUUUACACAAAUAGCCCAAUGAAUUUUGGGGCUUGUUUCCAAAAGUAGCAGUCCAUUAUUGGUGGACACAAGGGCCAGAUGAAAAACUCACUAUUUUCCUAAAUUUGUAACUCUAACUGCAGGUUACCUUUAGAUAUGUACCUUCUUGCUACCUUGGAGAUUUUGUUGGUUUGGUGCAUCUUUUCUUUCUGAACACUUUCCAUGAGUAUUUGUAUUUUGAAAAGAUAGUACAAGACUUCAGGUGAGAUCCUUAAGUCACACUGGAUACUUCUAUUUUUCUAGAGAAUACAUACAAUUUUAAAGCUAAUUUCCAAGUCUAAGAUUCAAAUAUUAAUUUGAAUUUGACAUUCUUCAAGUAUUUGUGAGGAAAAGAAAGGCCAUUCUAAGAAAUGCCUCCCACUAAAAUUAGAAUAUUCAUGGAUUACAAAUCCCUGUGUGGUAUGAAAAGGAAAUCUGCAUUUUUAAUAAAACUGGAACUAUUAAAAACACACCCAGAAAAUGGUUGGAAUAAUUUUUCAGCCUACUUCAGGUGUCCAUGUGAGUAGACCUGGUCCUUGAAAGAGUCCUGCUUUACAUACAAACUUCUCAGACUUCCAUCAUUCAUUAAUUUGCAAAAACCACCCACUGUCAGGAAAGGAAAAAUUGGUACAUCAACUAUUACAGGAGCUUGACCCUUACAAAUCGAUGGACCCAGAUAAUGUCCACCCAAGGUUAUUAAAAGUGCUGGCUGAGAUCCUCAUGAGGCUGCUUUCCAUGACCUUUGAGCAGUUGUGGAGAUCAGGAAACAUCUCAGAUGUUUCUAAUAUGUUUCCUGAAGAAGAAGAAGGCCGAUAUCAUACCAUCUACCAUACCUUCUACAAAAAGGGCUAAAUGAGGACCAAGGAAAUUAUAGUCCCAUCAGCUUUCAGUCCCUGAGAAAGUACCGGAAUGGAUCCUCCUGGGGGCCAUCCCAAAUCAGAUGAAGCACGUGUUGGGAAAAGCCAGCACAGAUUCAACAAGGGCAAAUAUUGCUUGACAAACAUGAUUGCCUGCUAUGACAAAGUAGCCCUCUUGGCUGAUGUGAGGCGACAGUGGAGAUUGUCUUCCUGGAUUUCUCCAAGGGUUUUGAUAGGGUUUCCCUCAGCCUGGCAUAAGGGCAGCUGCAGAGUGGCAUCUCCUGAAAGCUGGGUCAUUUUGAAGGAGCCUUUUACAGGUGGACCAGAGGAUCUGGGUGAACAAUGCUGAAGCACACUGCAAGGUGUGAUAGUUAAGGAUAAGAUUAAUAUGCCUGCUGAAGUGGACACUGUUGUGAGGGAAUCUGAUCCUAACAGCUGCAAAGAGUUAGGUAUAUCUUAUGAUUCCUCAUGGAGAAAAAGUAAGCAGUUGCUUUUGCUCUUCUAAGUUAUUGUAAUAGAUUUAUGAAUUUUAUAUUACUGAAGUAUUCAUAAUUAUUCAAAACUAACUUCGGCAGAAAUACACAGGAUAAAAAUAUGACCAUGUCUGCCACUAAAAAUUUCUAGUUUGAGAAAUAGUUGAUUAUUGUAAAAUUAAUCAUGGGAGGAAAAAGUGUGUAUCAAGAAAAUUUCCUUAUAUCUUUUUCUUUUUUGAUUUCCAUUGACAGGCAUGGCAGGAUCAUCAGGAUCUCAGAUAAGCAAAAAGCACAUCAAAAAAAUCAAGUUUAAAAAAAAGUAUAAUUUUCACUGUAGCCAUCAGCCUGCAGCUAUUACAAAUGAGUAAUUUAUAAGUGUGCAAUUUACAGAAUGUGUAUGGAAGCACAUUUAAUGCUGAUACAAAGACAGCUUGGAUGUGUAAUGAGGUUUUUAUAGCAUGUUGUGCUAGGUUUAAUGCAGGCAUGUAGGUACAGCUUCCUCAGCAAUUACUAAGGGUUGGUUGAGGGUGCUUUCUUUUUUUUAAGUCUGAAAAAUGUGCUUUUAAAUAGAACUCUAGAAAAAAUUUACAUAAUUAUUUCAAAUCUCUCAAUGUCUUUUCUUUGUACAUGAUCACUCUGUAAUACAUCGAGGCUAUAUUAGUUAUGAGAGGUUUUUUUUUAAACUGUCACCACACUACCAAGAUGAGAAAACUAAUCCUGUACUUCAUGCAUGGCUGGAUCCUUCUGGAAAAUAAUGAGAGGCAUCCUAGGGAGAAAGGACUACUUACCAUAAAAUACAUUCUCAGUAUAUUUCUCCUCCUUUUCUUAUUUUUUUAAUUUCAUUUUUAAGUACAUUUGCAUGAAAACAGGAUCUCUGGCUAAGGAUGCCCUUUGGAUUCCUCCCUCCCCAUUGAUAUUUUAACAUCCUCUUGUGGUGACUAGCAUCCAAGUUCUGUCAGCACCUACAAAUUUAACCUUUCAAACACACCCACUGAUUUCCUUGAAGCAAUCUACUGAAUGUGGUGCAGCACAUGGACAGUGUUUGCAGGAGCAGGGCCCAGAUAAUUAUUUCCAGAUGAAGUGUGCUGCAAAGAGAGUGGUAGAACUAGCACAGCUAGAAGAGUGAAAUUUCAAGGAACUGAAUUCAGUCCAAAGAUAUGCCCCUCAACAAUUUCUUUGCCUGGAACAACUCAAGCACGGGACAGUUUUCACCAGCAAAUCUCAGGAGAAGCAAAUUCUACAUGGUCACAAAGGGAAUCUGUGAGGGACAAGAGCAGUGGUCUCAAAAGGGUACAGACCCUGAAGGGAUUGCUUCCUUAGGAUGCUGCUGACCAGGAUGGCAAACCAGAGAUGAUUUAUGUCUCUGUGGUAUGAGCUGACUACAGUAUUUAUUGAAGAGUUAAUUUUUAGCUGAAUCCACAGGCUAAAUUUUGGUAUGGUGUUCUUGCCCUCAAAGACAGCUGCAGUUACUGGACAAAAUCAGCUCUUCUAGCACACUUUUGCUGAAUGACAAUACUGGAAAAUAACAUAAAAAAUAUUGAUGAAGCACAUUAAAGACUUUAAUUAUAUUUUCUCCUCAUUCAGAAGUGACUUCUGUGGGUAAUCACAUCUUUUUACAUUUUGCUCUUAAUAAGGAGAAUUGUCAGGUUGUUUUCACCUGAGCAAAAAGUCUAGAAAUGGGCUUAAUUGUCCCAUGUGCUGGUGCAUUUUAUCUUUGUAGUUGAAAGCCCCAAUCUACUGUCAGAAGACAUGCCCAUUUGGGGUGUUCACAACCAGUAAGGAAACCUAUCCCAGUUACCAAACUCAACAGAAAUUUAAGGGGAAAAGCAAAAGGAAGAAGAAUCAGGUCUACUUUACUG
Taeniopygia guttata (zebra finch) is the source of this 5285-nucleotide long non-coding RNA. Lineage: Eukaryota; Metazoa; Chordata; Aves; Passeriformes; Estrildidae. The record is from Ensembl.